Folsomia candida is the source of this 2029-nucleotide RNA transcript. It is a transcript of the gene named derlin-1, with no coding region annotated. NCBI's taxonomy places the organism in Eukaryota, Metazoa, Arthropoda, Collembola, Entomobryomorpha, Isotomidae. The transcript has 11 exons. The record is from RefSeq and is a predicted model, not a curated record.
UGAGCCUUUUUAAGCCAGUUUCAGUGAAUUCGAAUUUUUCUGAAAGUUUCUUAAAUGAAAGAUCUUCAAAAUCUGGAGUAUAAAUUUUUGAAGAGUUGGGAACACCCUGCACUGUAAACAUAUUUACCUGUUCAAAAAAAACUUUUUCAUUCAAAAGUAACUCAUCUGAAAUGACUGAAUCUUUCACUCAUUUUCAUUAAAAUCACACAAAAUUCAUUUUCAUUCUCUAUCAUAAUCAGUCACAUGAAUGAAAGUGAACAGGUAUGAUUCGUCGUCCAGAAUUUAAAAUAAAAUAAAUUCCCAGAGCCGAAAAAUGAUAUGCUGAUUCUGACAAUGAAUCAUCGAUUUCACCGUUAACAUAGUUCAUCCGGAAAUGAAAUAUUCAGUCGCACGUGCACGUGAAUAAAGUUAAAACUUUAAGUUACUUGAACUAUCUGAGUCGUUAAUCUUCACGACCUUGUCGGCAAUACAUAAUGGAAGACGUAAAAAAUUGGCUACUUCGCCUCCCGUAUUUAACGAGGCACUGGUUUAUCGCAGCUAUCGUGUUACCCUUACUGGUGAGAUUCGGCGUAGUUGGGGGCGAUCGAGUUAUUUUAUCGUUGGACCGCAUUGUUUAUGGAUUCCAGUUAUGGAGACCGGUGACAGCUGCAAUCUAUUUUCCGGUAGGUUUCCUCUGGCUGAUGAAGCUCUAUCUGUUGGUUUCUUACUCCAGAAAAUUGGAAGAAGAACACUAUGCCACGAAACAAGGAACAUACGCGUUUCUCUUGGUGGUAAAUUGGUUCGUAUGUUUCAAUCUUGGACUUGCACUUGAUUAUCCAAUUCUGCUGGGCCCAAUGAUCAAUUCCGUGGUUUACAUUUGGUGUCAAUUAAACCCAAAUGUGAUUAUCCGGUUUUGGUUUGGGACCGAGUUCAAGGCUAAAAUUUUUCCCCUUGUCCUCGCCAUUAUGGAUCUUAUCCUUUACAACGAUUGGAUAGCCCAAGCCAUUGGAAUUCUUGCUGGUCACGCGUACUAUUUCUCCACCACGGAAUGGGCCCGGCUUCAUGGGAGACCACUGUUUGAAACGCCACGGUUUUUCCAAUCCCUUUUCCGCAAUCCAAGGAUGGCCCAAAUGUCUGAAGGGAUUUAUGUCGAAGACUAUCGAGACACUGGACCCACAAGGCUGACCCCGUCUACGUACAGCUUUCCUGGUACGGGGCGUGUUCUCAGUGAUACUGCUCAGUUCAGUAUUUUGCUGGGAGUGAGACCAUUUUCGAUUUCUUUAGCCAAAUUUGCCGAUUUAGAGGUGCAAGUUGAGAACGGAGUUAAGACUCUCACCAUUAACAGACCAGCUAAGAAGAACGCCAUAAGUACACAGAUGUUCCAAGAAAUGACGAAAUCUCUUUACGAUAGUAAUGACGAUAAGACCACAAAAAUUAUCGUGAUCCGUGGAACAGGCAACUUUUUCACUGCUGGAAAUGACCUUUCCUCUCUUUUCGAAGAUUGUCAGAAAAAAACGACCGUGAAUGAAUUGGAAGUCUCAAUAUUCACUAAAAGCCUAAUCGAUUGCCGAAAACCUAUUGUUGCUCUCGUUAAUGGUCACGCAGUCGGAAUUGGCGUCACAAUGUUGCCUCAUACGGACACGGUGUUCGCGUCAGAUAAGGCCACUUUUACCACACCCUUUAUAAAAUUUGGAAUUCCUCCUACUGAAUGUUGCGCAGGCUACCUUCUACCAAAAGUUAUGGGUCAAGCGAAGUAUAAACCAGGCCGGCGAAAUGCUCCACUUCAACGCAACUCUAACUGCGGCAGAGGCUUACACGAGUAAUUUGAUUACGAGAGUUUUUCCUGACGCCGAGUUUGAUAAGAAGGCGUGGGAGAAAAUUUACCAAAUGGCCGAACAUCCAUUAACUUCACUGGUUUCUUCGAAAGAAUUCCUUCGAGGAAGGGAGCGACAAGUUUUGCAUAAAAUUCAUGACGACGAAGGAGCAAUUGUAAAUAUUAACAUUUUGGCGAAAGCAGUAAUGAAAUUGAUGUCCCAGCAGAAGUGAAUUG